GCCUAAUACAUGCAAAGUCGAGCGAGCGGAACGUAACAGAUUUACUUCGGGUAAUGACGUUAGGAAAGCGAGCGGCGGGAUGGGUGAGUAACACGUCGGGGGAAGUACUGCCCCCACUAGUCUGGGAUACCACUUGGAAACAGGUGCUAAUACGGGAUAAGAAAGCAGAUCGCAUGAUCAGCUUUUAAAAAGGCGGCGUAAGCUGUCGCUAUGGGAUGGCCCCGCGGUGCAUUAGCUAGUUGGUAAGGUAAAGGCUUACCAAGGCGAUGAUGCAUAGCCGAGUUGAGAGACUGAUCGGCCACAUUGGGACUGAGACACGGCCCAAACUCCUACGGGAGGCAGCAGUAGGGAAUCUUCCACAAUGGACGCAAGUCUGAUGGAGCAACGCCGCGUGAGUGAAGAAGGUUUUCGGAUCGUAAAGCUCUGUUGUUGGUGAAGAAGGAUAGAGGUAGUAACUGGCCUUUAUUUGACGGUAAUCAACCAGAAAGUCACGGGCUAACUACGUGCCAGCAGCCGCGGUAAAU
Molecule: ribosomal RNA, 524 nt
Filed under: uncultured Lactobacillus sp.
Lineage: Bacteria; Bacillati; Bacillota; Bacilli; Lactobacillales; Lactobacillaceae
Description: bacterial SSU rRNA
Rfam family: Bacterial small subunit ribosomal RNA
Source: RNAcentral